Molecule: ribosomal RNA, 253 nt
Filed under: uncultured bacterium
Lineage: Bacteria
Description: partial 16S ribosomal RNA
Rfam family: Bacterial small subunit ribosomal RNA
Source: RNAcentral
UACGUAGGUGGCAAGCGUUGUCCGGAUUUACUGGGCGUAAAGGGAGCGUAGGUGGAUAUUUAAGUGGGAUGUGAAAUACUCGGGCUUAACCUGAGUGCUGCAUUCCAAACUGAAUAUCUAGAGUGCAGGAGAGGAAAGUGGAAUUCCUAGUGUAGCGGUGAAAUGCGUAGAUAUUAGGAAGAACACCAGUGGCGAAGGCGACUUUCUGGACUGUAACUGACACUGAGGCUCGAAAGCGUGGGGAGCGAACAGG